Molecule: ribosomal RNA, 920 nt
Filed under: uncultured bacterium
Lineage: Bacteria
Description: bacterial SSU rRNA
Rfam family: Bacterial small subunit ribosomal RNA
Source: RNAcentral
GGGCUUACACAUGCAAGUCGAGGGGCAUCACGAGGUAGCAAUACCUUGGUGGCGACCGGCGCACGGGUGAGUAACACGUAUGCAACCUUCCCUGUACAGGGGGAUAACCCGGAGAAAUUCGGACUAAUACCCCAUGAUGAUAUUUAUGGGCAUCCAUUAAUAUUUAAAGCCCUGGCGGUACAGGAUGGGCAUGCGCGACAUUAGCUAGUUGGUAAGGUAACGGCUUACCAAGGCGACGAUGUUUAGGGGACCUGAGAGGGUUGUCCCCCACACUGGUACUGAGACACGGACCAGACUCCUACGGGAGGCAGCAGUGAGGAAUAUUGGUCAAUGGGCGCAAGCCUGAACCAGCCAUCCCGCGUGAAGGAAGAAUGCGCUACGCGUUGUAAACUUCUUUUCCAGGGGGAGAAUAAUCCUGUCGUGACAGGACUUGACGGUACUCUGGGAAUAAGCAUCGGCUAACUCCGUGCCAGCAGCCGCGGUAAUACGGAGGAUGCGAGCGUUAUCCGGAUUUAUUGGGUUUAAAGGGUGCGUAGGCGGAUUGAUAAGUCAGUGGUGAAAUUCUACAGCUUAACUGUAGACUUGCCGUUGAUACUGUUAGUCUUGAGUGUGGUCAAGGCAGGCGGAAUGUGUAAUGUAGCGGUGAAAUGCUUAGAUAUUACACAGAACACCGAUUGCGAAGGCAGCUUGCUGGGUCAUUACUGACGCUGAUGCACGAAAGCGUGGGGAUCAAACAGGAUUAGAUACCCUGGUAGUCCACGCCGUAAACUAUGAUCACUCGCUGUUGGCGAUACACAGUCAGCGGCUAAGCAAAAGCAUUAAGUGAUCCACCUGGGGGAGUACGGCCGCAAGGCUGAAACUCAAGGGAAUUGACGGGGGCCCGCACAAGCGGAGGAACAUGUGGUUUAAUUCGAUGAUAC